Molecule: ribosomal RNA, 121 nt
Filed under: Methanobacteriota archaeon
Lineage: Archaea; Methanobacteriati; Methanobacteriota
Source: RNAcentral
UAUGGCGGCCACAGCGGAGGGGUCACACCCGUUCCCAUUCGAACACGGAAGUAAAGUCCUCCAGCGAUUCUGGUUGUACUGCGGUGCGCGAGCCCGCGGGAAGCCAGAGGCGCUGCCAGCC